CGUUAGCGGCGGACGGGUGAGUAACACGUGGGCAACCUGCCUGUAAGACUGGGAUAACUUCGGGAAACCGAAGCUAAUACCGGAUAGGAUCUUCUCCUUCAUGGGAGAUGAUUGAAAGAUGGUUUCGGCUAUCACUUACAGAUGGGCCCGCGGUGCAUUAACUAAUUGGUGAGGUAACGGCUCACCAAGGCAACGAUGCAUAGCCGACCUGAGAGGGUGAUCGGCCACACUGGGACUGAGACACGGCCCAGACUCCUACGGGAGGCAGCAGUAGGGAAUCUUCCGCAAUGGACGAAAGUCUGACGGAGCAACGCCGCGUGAGUGAUGAAGGCUUUCGGGUCGUAAAACUCUGUUGUUAGGGAAGAAUAAGUACAAGAGUAACUGCUUGUACCUUGACGGUACCUAACCAGAAAGCCACGGCUAACUACGUGCCAGCAGCCGCGGUAAUACG
This 451-nucleotide ribosomal RNA is filed under the name uncultured Candidatus Entotheonella sp. RNAcentral's name for it is "bacterial SSU rRNA". It matches the Rfam family "Bacterial small subunit ribosomal RNA", at positions 90 to 527 of the family's 1533-position model. Lineage: Bacteria; Pseudomonadati; Candidatus Tectimicrobiota; Candidatus Entotheonellia; Candidatus Entotheonellales; Candidatus Entotheonellaceae. The record is from RNAcentral.